RNAcentral lists this transfer RNA (69 nucleotides) under Hemisus marmoratus (mottled shovel-nosed frog). RNAcentral's name for it is "tRNA-Val". It matches the Rfam family "tRNA". Rfam says of the family: Transfer RNA (tRNA) molecules are approximately 80 nucleotides in length. Their secondary structure includes four short double-helical elements and three loops (D, anti-codon, and T loops). Lineage: Eukaryota; Metazoa; Chordata; Amphibia; Anura; Hemisotidae. The record is from RNAcentral.
CAAAGUGUAACUUAAUUAAAGUAACUCGCUUACACCGAAUAUAUAUUUGUUUAACUCAAAUCACUUUGU